AGGACGAACGCUGGCGGCGUGCUUAACACAUGCAAGUCGAGCGAGGCCUUCCCUUCGGGGGAGUGCCCUAGCGGCGAACGGGUGAGUAACACGUGGGCAACCUGCCCCUAGCACUGGGAUAACUCCGGGAAACCGGGGCUAAUACCGGAUAUGACCUUUGAGGGCAUCCUCUUUGGUGUAAAGGAUUCUGACUAGGGAUGGGCCCGCGGCCUAUCAGCUUGUUGGUGGGGUAAUGGCCUACCAAGGCGACGACGGGUAGCCGGCCUGAGAGGGCGACCGGCCACACUGGGACUGAGACACGGCCCAGACUCCUACGGGAGGCAGCAGUGGGGAAUAUUGCACAAUGGGCGAAAGCCUGAUGCAGCGACGCCGCGUGAGGGAUGACGGCCUUCGGGUUGUAAACCUCUUUCAGUACCGACGAAGCGAAAGUGACGGUAGGUACAGAAGAAGCACCGGCCAACUACGUGCCAGCAGCCGC
RNAcentral lists this ribosomal RNA (478 nucleotides) under uncultured bacterium. RNAcentral describes it as "SSU rRNA". It matches the Rfam family "Bacterial small subunit ribosomal RNA", at positions 26 to 518 of the family's 1533-position model. The record is from RNAcentral.